AAAAAAGAAGAUUUGUAGUUUACAAGUUAACUUUUACCCCUGUUUCCUCCAUCAGGCCCAUUUAGUAGGGGACCAGGAGUGGUGUAUAUUCAGAUCCAUGAAAACCCACUUGACUCUUCUGCCCAUACAGAGUGUGAAAAUAAGCUGAUUGCCAUGGAAGCAGCUGAGCCCAAACCAACCCAGGGCUUGAAACAUAAUGAUAUCGAAGAUCUAACCGACAGCAAAGUUCGUCUCUCCCCGGCAUCAACGCACACUCCAGAAUAAUCAAGUCUUGUAAUUUCGCCAGAGCAUCACUGCCAGAAAAGUCCUUCUCCCCUCUCGCUGCCUA
Molecule: long non-coding RNA, 328 nt
Organism: Herpailurus yagouaroundi (jaguarundi)
Lineage: Eukaryota; Metazoa; Chordata; Mammalia; Carnivora; Felidae
Exons: 3
Source: RefSeq, a predicted model, not a curated record